ACAUAAUGAUGCUUUGCCAUGCUAAUACUGAGGGAUUAUCUGGAUCUCGCUGAGUUGAAUUCUCAUAUUUACUGAAUGUU
This is a small nucleolar RNA of Nomia melanderi (Alkali bee), 80 nucleotides long. Lineage: Eukaryota; Metazoa; Arthropoda; Insecta; Hymenoptera; Halictidae. The record is from RefSeq and is a predicted model, not a curated record.